CAGCGGUCGGGGCGGGGGCGGCCGGUGCAGGGCUCCGGCGCCAGGCGGGAGCCUGGCCACCGGCUCCGCGCUUCUGCCCUCCCAGCUCCCGAGCUCCGCGCGCGGGAGCGCCCAGCUGGUCCCGUGCUUCCAGAUCCUCCCCGCCCUGAUUGCUUGGAUUUCCCUUUCUCCUUUCACAGUCACUCCUUUCAUUUUGACUCCCCGGCGGUCUGUUGCUUCCUCGCUUUUUUUCCGCGUGUUUAACCCGGGAAGACCCCAGGGUACAAUUCCCAUCUGGAGACUUGCAGAAAAGUGCACGAGUGUGAAGAAUUUUUGCAAAUUGAACACACCUGUUGAACCAGCACCUCGAUCAAGAAACAACAUGACCAGCUCUCCAGAAGCCUUGCUUGAUUUCCUUUUCCAAUCACUGCCUGGUCCUCAAGGGUUACCACUGGCUUGACUUUAGAAUGCAGCAUAGAAUAAUUUUGCCUAUUUUUGUACUUUUAUUUGUGCCUUUUGUAAAGCAAGGUUUGUGAGCUUCAUCCAUAUUGUGUGAGGUUGUCAUUUGUUCUUCUCAUUGUAUUAUCAGCUUUUAACACAUUUACAAUCUAUAAUAUUAAAAUUAUUUUAACUCA
This is a long non-coding RNA of Physeter macrocephalus (sperm whale), 614 nucleotides long. RefSeq lists it as uncharacterized. The record is from RefSeq and is a predicted model, not a curated record. The transcript is spliced from 2 exons. Lineage: Eukaryota; Metazoa; Chordata; Mammalia; Artiodactyla; Physeteridae.